RNAcentral lists this transfer RNA (72 nucleotides) under Candidatus Rehaiarchaeum fermentans. Its description in RNAcentral is "tRNA-Ile". It matches the Rfam family "tRNA". Rfam says of the family: Transfer RNA (tRNA) molecules are approximately 80 nucleotides in length. Lineage: Archaea; Nanobdellati; Candidatus Parvarchaeota. The record is from RNAcentral.
GGGCCGUUAGCUUAGUGGUAGAGCGCCAGUCUUAUAAACUGGAGGUCGAGGGUUCGAUCCCCUCACGGCCCA